GACGAACGCUGGCGGCGUGCUUAACACAUGCAAGUCGAACGGGUCUGCCCUGUUUUUUGCGGGGUGGGUCAGUGGCGAACGGGUGAGUAACACGUGAGUAACCUGCCCCUCACUUCUGGAUAACCGCUUGAAAGGGUGGCUAAUACGGGGUGUUCUGGCUGUGCCGCAUGGUGUGGCUGGGAAAGAUUCACUUUUGUGGUGUUUUGGUGGGGGAUGGGCUGGCGGCCUAUCAGCUUGUGGGUGGGGUGAUGGCCUGCCAAGGCUUUGACGGGUAGCCGGCCUGAGAGGGUGGGCGGUCACACUGGGACUGAGCUACGGCCCAGACUCCUGCGGGAGGCAGCAGUGGGGGGUAUUGCACAAUGGGCGGAAGCCUGAUGCAGCGACGUCGCGUGAGGGAUGGAGGCCUUCGGGUUGUGAACCUCUUUCGCCGGUGAAGAAGGUCCUGCUCUUUGUGGUGGGGUUGACGGUAGCCGGGUUAUGAAGCGCCGGCUAACUACGUG
RNAcentral lists this ribosomal RNA (500 nucleotides) under uncultured bacterium. Its description in RNAcentral is "partial 16S ribosomal RNA". It matches the Rfam family "Bacterial small subunit ribosomal RNA", at positions 28 to 507 of the family's 1533-position model. The record is from RNAcentral.